GGGUGACCAACUGUCCUGGUUUGCCUGGGACUAAGGAGUUUCUGGGCUAAACCCAGGCAAGUUCCAGGCAGACCAGGGCAAGUUG
This 85-nucleotide microRNA precursor is filed under the name Pteropus vampyrus (large flying fox). Its description in RNAcentral is "miRNA (ENSPVAG00000030056.1)". The record is from RNAcentral. Lineage: Eukaryota; Metazoa; Chordata; Mammalia; Chiroptera; Pteropodidae.